This 269-nucleotide unclassified non-coding RNA is filed under the name Hevea brasiliensis (rubber tree). Lineage: Eukaryota; Viridiplantae; Streptophyta; Magnoliopsida; Malpighiales; Euphorbiaceae. The record is from RNAcentral.
AUUUAUGCUCUUUGCUGGCAGGGGCAAGCUAGUGAAGCAAGAUACUGGUUUUCUGUCAUGUUGAAGAAGAAUUUGGUGCCGGACAUAAUGUCAUACAACCCUUUGAUUUACGGAUACUGUCGGUUGGGGGAUAUUGAUGAGGCCUUUUCCUUAUUACAUGAUUUAAGGAGCAGGGGACUUUUUCCUACAGUGAUCACCUACAAUACAAUUAUGGAUGGACUCUGUAAAAAAGGUAAUUUAGAGGAUGCUAAGCAGAUGAAAGAAGAAAU